Molecule: ribosomal RNA, 117 nt
Filed under: Pteropus alecto (black flying fox)
Lineage: Eukaryota; Metazoa; Chordata; Mammalia; Chiroptera; Pteropodidae
Source: RNAcentral
AUCUACAGCCAUGCCACCCUGAACAAGCCUGAUGUCUGAUCUUGUGAAGCUAAGCAGGGUCGAGUCUGGUUAGUACCUGGGUGGGAGACCACCUAGAAAGACCAGAUGCUAUAGGCA